AAGUCGUAACAAGGUCUCCGUAGGUGAACCUGCGGAGGGAUCAUCAUUGAAAACAAAUUUGAACAGGAGUGUUGGAUUUUCGAGAGGGGAGGGGGGCAGGAAAACUCUGCAUUGUGAAAACUCUGCAUUUCUGUUGCCCGAGCCUUGAGAGAGCCGCCUUCUGUACAAACAACCAAUCUACAUGACUAGGAAAACACACACACUGGUUUGGAGGGGGACACACACAUACACACAAGUUCUUGUCUGACAAGUUGCUUGCUGAUUUGGAGCAGAUAACAAUACAACUUUCAACAACGGAUCUCUUGGCUCUCA
This 312-nucleotide unclassified non-coding RNA is filed under the name fungal sp. Its description in RNAcentral is "partial internal transcribed spacer region". The stretch from base 1 to 46 matches the Rfam family "Eukaryotic small subunit ribosomal RNA", at positions 1786 to 1831 of the family's 1831-position model. The record is from RNAcentral. Lineage: Eukaryota; Fungi.